AGUGAACGCUGGCGGUAGGCCUAACACAUGCAAGUCGAACGGCAGCACAGGAGAGCUUGCUCUCUGGGUGGCGAGCGGCGGACGGGUGAGGAAUACAUCGGAAUCUACUCUGUCGUGGGGGAUAACGUAGGGAAACUUACGCUAAUACCGCAUACGACCUACGGGUGAAAGCAGGGGACCUUCGGGCCUUGCGCGAUUGAAUGAGCCGAUGUCGGAUUAGCUAGUUGGCGGGGUAAAGGCCCACCAAGGCGACGAUCCGUAGCUGGUCUGAGGGGAUGAUCAGCCACACUGGAACUGAGACACGGUCCAGACUCCUACGGGAGGCAGAAGCGGGGAAUAUUGGACAAUGGGCGCAAGCCUGAUCCAGCCACACCGCGUGGGUGAAGAAGGCCUUCGGGUUGUAAAGCCCUUUUGUUGGGAAAGAAAUCCAGCUGGCUAAUACCCGGUCGGGAUGACGGUACCCAAAGAAUAAGCACCGGCUAACUUCGUGCCAGCCGCCGCGGUAA
RNAcentral lists this ribosomal RNA (506 nucleotides) under uncultured bacterium. Its description in RNAcentral is "partial 16S ribosomal RNA". It matches the Rfam family "Bacterial small subunit ribosomal RNA", at positions 29 to 523 of the family's 1533-position model. The record is from RNAcentral.